RNAcentral lists this ribosomal RNA (465 nucleotides) under Vreelandella stevensii. RNAcentral describes it as "partial 16S ribosomal RNA". It matches the Rfam family "Bacterial small subunit ribosomal RNA", at positions 338 to 795 of the family's 1533-position model. Lineage: Bacteria; Pseudomonadati; Pseudomonadota; Gammaproteobacteria; Oceanospirillales; Halomonadaceae. The record is from RNAcentral.
CCUACGGGUGGCUGCAGUGGGGAAUAUUGGACAAUGGGGGCAACCCUGAUCCAGCCAUGCCGCGUGUGUGAAGAAGGCCCUCGGGUUGUAAAGCACUUUCAGUGAGGAAGAACGCCUGGUGGUUAAUACCCAUCAGGAAAGACAUCACUCACAGAAGAAGCACCGGCUAACUCCGUGCCAGCAGCCGCGGUAAUACGGAGGGUGCGAGCGUUAAUCGGAAUUACUGGGCGUAAAGCGCGCGUAGGUGGCUUGAUAAGCCGGUUGUGAAAGCCCCGGGCUCAACCUGGGAACGGCAUCCGGAACUGUCAAGCUAGAGUGCAGGAGAGGAAGGUAGAAUUCCCGGUAUAGCGGUGAAAUGCGUAGAGAUCGGGAGGAAUACCAGUGGCGAAGGCGGCCUUCUGGACUGACACUGACACUGAGGUGCGAAAGCGUGGGUAGCAAACAGGAUUAGAUACCCUAGUAGUC